Molecule: transfer RNA, 76 nt
Filed under: Prevotella sp.
Lineage: Bacteria; Pseudomonadati; Bacteroidota; Bacteroidia; Bacteroidales; Prevotellaceae
Description: tRNA-Gly
Rfam family: tRNA
About the family: Transfer RNA (tRNA) molecules are approximately 80 nucleotides in length.
Source: RNAcentral
GCGGACUUAGUACAGUCGGUAGUACGUAUCCUUGCCAAGGAUAAGGUCACGGGUUCGAGCCCCGUAGUUCGCUCCA